GCCCUAAAUAGAUUUAUCAGUCGGUUUAGCAUGAGACUCUUUAUCUCAGGGUCGUGGGUUCGAGCCGCAUGUUGGGCA
Non-coding RNA from Podarcis lilfordi (Lilford's wall lizard), 78 nucleotides. NCBI's taxonomy places the organism in Eukaryota, Metazoa, Chordata, Lepidosauria, Squamata, Lacertidae. The record is from the annotation of a GenBank genome assembly.